Molecule: long non-coding RNA, 301 nt
Organism: Gigantopelta aegis
Lineage: Eukaryota; Metazoa; Mollusca; Gastropoda; Neomphalida; Peltospiridae
Exons: 2
Source: RefSeq, a predicted model, not a curated record
AAUAGUUCUUCUUUAGUAUUCCGGUAUCAUUCAUUAAGGCCUACAAAUGUUGUCCCCAACUCCUAAGUCAACUAAGUUACCAGAUGAAGAUUUGCCUUGCACGGGGAGGUAACUCCAUUAACACUGACUUAACAAUCACCAGAGGGCAUUUACACAAGUUGCUUUCGGCGGGAACUUCCAAGAAGAGUGUUUUUACUCAAAGAAGUUUCAUUUUUAAUUUCAUGGAUCUAUGUUUUAGAUUAUGGCACUAACCAGCACUGAAAAACAACGGCGCUAUCGACAGAAAAGAGAUCAGGAUGUC